UACGUAGGGUGCGAGCGUUGUCCGGAAUUACUGGGCGUAAAGAGCUCGUAGGUGGUUUGUUGCGUCGUCUGUGAAAUUCCGGGGCUUAACUUCGGGGUGGCAGGCGAUACGGGCAUAACUAGAGUGCUGUAGGGGAGACUGGAAUUCCUGGUGUAGCGGUGGAAUGCGCAGAUAUCAGGAGGAACACCGAUGGAGCGAAGGCAGGUCUCUGGGCAGUAACUGGACGCUAGG
This 231-nucleotide ribosomal RNA is filed under the name uncultured bacterium. Its description in RNAcentral is "partial 16S ribosomal RNA". It matches the Rfam family "Bacterial small subunit ribosomal RNA", at positions 524 to 750 of the family's 1533-position model. The record is from RNAcentral.